UACAGAGGGGGCAAGCGUUAUUCGGAAUUAUUGGGCGUAAAGGGCGCGUAGGCGGCAUGUUAAGUCGGCUGUGAAAGCCUGGGACUCAACCCCAGAGGGUCGGCCGAUACUGGCAAGCUAGAGUACGGAAGAGGUAGCUGGAAUUCCCGGUGUAGCGGUGAAAUGCGUAGAUAUUGGGAGGAACACCAGUGGCGAAGGCGGCUCACUGGACUGGUACUGACGCUGAUGCGCGAAAGCGUGGGGAGCAAACAGG
This 253-nucleotide ribosomal RNA is filed under the name uncultured bacterium. RNAcentral describes it as "partial 16S ribosomal RNA". It matches the Rfam family "Bacterial small subunit ribosomal RNA", at positions 524 to 776 of the family's 1533-position model. The record is from RNAcentral.